RNAcentral lists this transfer RNA (69 nucleotides) under Synodus foetens (inshore lizardfish). RNAcentral's name for it is "tRNA-Arg". It matches the Rfam family "tRNA". Rfam says of the family: Transfer RNA (tRNA) molecules are approximately 80 nucleotides in length. Their secondary structure includes four short double-helical elements and three loops (D, anti-codon, and T loops). The record is from RNAcentral. Lineage: Eukaryota; Metazoa; Chordata; Actinopteri; Aulopiformes; Synodontidae.
AAACGGUUGGUCCAACCAAGAUAUUUGAUUUCGGCUCAAAAGACAGUGGUUAAAGUCCACUACCGUUAU